AGCUCCAAUAGCGUAUAUUAAAGUUGUUGCGGUUAAAAGGCUCGUAGUUGGAUUUUGGGAUUUGAAUGAUGGGUCCGGUUCUAUCCGCGUACUUAUCGUUCUGUCCUUCUGUCUGGGGAUUCCGCGUGUCCUCUUAACUGAGGUGCGUGGGAGCUUCCAGUACUCUUACUUUGAACAAAUUCACGUGCUCAAAGCAGGCGAACGCCUUGAAGAUAUUAGCAUGGAAUAACUUAUAGGACUUCGGUUCUAUUUUGUUGGUUACGGACUGAAGUAAUGAUUAAUAGGGACAGUUGGGGGCAUUAAUAUUUAAUUGUCAGAGGUGAAAUUCUUAGAUUUAUGAAAGAUUAACUUCUGCGAAAGCAUUUGCCAAGGAUGUUUUCAUUAAUCAAGAACGAAAGUA
RNAcentral lists this ribosomal RNA (400 nucleotides) under phytoplankton environmental sample. Its description in RNAcentral is "partial small subunit ribosomal RNA". It matches the Rfam family "Eukaryotic small subunit ribosomal RNA", at positions 587 to 991 of the family's 1831-position model. The record is from RNAcentral.